UGGGGAAUUUUGGACAAUGGGGGCAACCCUGAUCCAGCCAUCCCGCGUGUGCGAUGAAGGCCUUCGGGUUGUAAAGCACUUUUGGCAGGGAAGAAACAGCCUGGGCUAAUAUCCCGGGCGACUGACGGUACCUGCAGAAUAAGCACCGGCUAACUACGUGCCAGCAGCCGCGGUAAUACGAAGGGUGCAAGCGUUACUCGGAAUUACUGGGCGUAAAGCGUGCGUAGGCGGUCUGUUAAGUCUGCUGUGAAAUCCCCGGGCUCAACCUGGGAAUGGCAGUGGAAACUGGCGGGCGAGAGUACGGUAGAGGAUGGUGGAAUGCCCGGUGUAGCGGUGAAAUGCGUAGAGAUCGGGAGGAACACCAGUGGCGAAGGCGGCCAUCUGGACCAGUACUGACGCUGAGGCACGAAAGCGUGGGGAGCAAACA
This 427-nucleotide ribosomal RNA is filed under the name uncultured bacterium. Its description in RNAcentral is "bacterial SSU rRNA". It matches the Rfam family "Bacterial small subunit ribosomal RNA", at positions 355 to 774 of the family's 1533-position model. The record is from RNAcentral.